GAGUUUGAUCUUGGCUCAGAUUGAACGCUGGCGGCAGGCCUAACACAUGCAAGUCGAGCGGUAGAGAGAAGCUUGCUUCUCUUGAGAGCGGCGGACGGGUGAGUAAUGCCUAGGAAUCUGCCUGGUAGUGGGGGAUAACGCUCGGAAACGGACGCUAAUACCGCAUACGUCCUACGGGAGAAAGCAGGGGACCUUCGGGCCUUGCGCUAUCAGAUGAGCCUAGGUCGGAUUAGCUAGUUGGUGAGGUAAUGGCUCACCAAGGCGACGAUCCGUAACUGGUCUGAGAGGAUGAUCAGUCACACUGGAACUGAGACACGGUCCAGACUCCUACGGGAGGCAGCAGUGGGGAAUAUUGGACAAUGGGCGAAAGCCUGAUCCAGCCAUGCCGCGUGUGUGAAGAAGGUCUUCGGAUUGUAAAGCACUUUAAGUUGGGAGGAAGGGCAGUAAAUUAAUACUUUGCUGUUUUGACGUUACGACAGAAUAAGCACCGGCUAACUCUGUGCCAGCCGCC
RNAcentral lists this ribosomal RNA (511 nucleotides) under uncultured bacterium. RNAcentral describes it as "bacterial SSU rRNA". It matches the Rfam family "Bacterial small subunit ribosomal RNA", at positions 9 to 516 of the family's 1533-position model. The record is from RNAcentral.